This 22-nucleotide microRNA is filed under the name Alligator mississippiensis (American alligator). RNAcentral describes it as "ami-miR-9610-5p". The record is from miRBase by way of RNAcentral. Lineage: Eukaryota; Metazoa; Chordata; Crocodylia; Alligatoridae.
UGUGACAGUAACUCCUUCUAGG